Rosa rugosa (rugosa rose) is the source of this 1173-nucleotide long non-coding RNA. RefSeq lists it as uncharacterized. The record is from RefSeq and is a predicted model, not a curated record. The transcript has 2 exons. NCBI's taxonomy places the organism in Eukaryota, Viridiplantae, Streptophyta, Magnoliopsida, Rosales, Rosaceae.
ACCCGAAAAAUUCAAGUUAAUUUCCGAUGACGUUUUGGAAAUGAUUUCGUGGUCGUGGACACGAGUACGAAGCUUAGAGGAGUGUGGAAUUAGUUCGAACGAUUUUAUUUCGAAAACUGAACGUUUUAGGGGAGGUCAAAGGUGUUGACUUUUUAUACAUUGGGAAUUUGGGAAAACUUCCUUCAUGAAAGUUGUAGAGCUCGUCGAUACGAUCUCGUGCAUAUGUGGAACGCAAAAAUCGGAGUUCGUAUGAGAAAGUUAUGAUCAAUUGAAAUUUGGGGAAAUUUCUAUAAAUAGCAAAAAAAUCCCGAAAAUUUCCAUUUCUGCAGAUUUUUCUCUCCCGAGCCCAGAUUUCGGCCUCUCUCUUCCACCGGCCAUAUCUCCCUCCACAGACCUCCGAUCGACUUGAUUUCAAAAGCAUUUUCAUUCGCCUUGAAGUCAGUUAAAACUUCCUAGAAGACAUAAAAGUGAGAAAAGAACCAUGGAAGGCGCUAGGAGGCCGAGAAGCUGCACAGCUCGAGCUGGAAUUCGCCCGAUGCUGCUCUUCCUUCACCGGCCGAUAUCUCUCUCAUCCGACCUCGAAUCGAGUUGAUUCCAAAAGGGAUUUUGUUGGGCUUGAGCUAUAUUACAACUUUGUAGAAGACAUCGAGGGGAAAUAACCAACGUGGUAGCCGCUACAAGUCGAAGAACACGGUGCAGUCGAGCUGGAAAUCGUCUUCCUUCGCCACCUUGGUUCUCCCAGCUCCGGCCACUAUAGCUCGAGUUCUUUGAGGGCUUUUCUAGCCCAGAGGAAGUAGAAGCUAUCCCCAAGAAGGCUUGCAGCGAUUUGAUCCGGGGUGAUCGAAUUUUGGAGUUUUGAAACUAGGGUUCAUCGGAUCCGUCGACUUCCAAGGUGAUUGACGGUCUCCCUUGGGUGAAAGAUUUCGGUGUGUAUUGUGUUGAAUUGAAGACGCAGCGGGAAUAUCGAGCGGGUAAUCCUACAGGACAGGAGAACCAGGACGGUGAUCGUGCGGUUAGAGCAAUUGUUAGAGUUUUACAACAAUUGUAAGUUGUGAGGUGUGUUAUGCUCAUUUGAGCUUUAUAAUAUAUUGUGAGAGUGAAUUGUAAUAAUGAACUCGAAGUUUCGAGAUUUGGUUUUUUUGUAAUUGUAAUUAUUCAGGUUUCGGAUUUGAA